Molecule: long non-coding RNA, 514 nt
Organism: Syzygium oleosum
Lineage: Eukaryota; Viridiplantae; Streptophyta; Magnoliopsida; Myrtales; Myrtaceae
Exons: 2
Source: RefSeq, a predicted model, not a curated record
UGAAUGGAUGAUUGGGACACCAGAUCUCAUGUACAAAACAUGCAUUUCCUGCUUAUCAGUGACCGCGUCCGCUCUGGAAAAGUAGAGAGUUAAAAGACUGGCUACCUCGAACCGCAUCGCUCUUUAAGCUACUGUACCCUAUAAAAGUCACGCAAGUGUUAGCAUGGUAUCGGAUGUUUGAGCCAUUAAGACUAUAUAGGCCUCUAUCCACCAACUCUACUAUAACGCCGUUGGCUGGAUUUUGCCUACUCAUCAGGUUCUAGAGAGCAGAGGUGGACGUUGUAAUUGCUUUGUGAGAGUUUUGGUGUCAAGACAACUCUGGAAAGAUGGAGCUUCCUCACUGGCACAUUACGGCAUGAUUAAUCAGUACAAAUCUAUUCAGUGGAUAACAAGUUGAUCUCAUGAUGUAGCAUUGAUUUGCAAGAGCUGUUGAUGCCUUUAUUAGUGAUAGUCUUUCAGUUUGUUGAAGCAGCUAUUUGAAUUGAUGCAAUUUAUGAAGGUUGCAAUCCCGUUA